AAGUGGCACGCAAGGAGAAUCUGCGCCGAUGCAUAGAACCAGCUAUCCAGGUGCACACCUACUUGCAUGCAUACGCUAACGUGUAUCUUCGUUCCACCUUAACCGGUUGUCGUUGCUCCCUUCUGCGAAAACGGCCUCUGCAGUCCCCACCAAUGCGCGUGUCAUCUUGGCUCUACCGUGGGCUGCUGCGCCGCACGCCAUUCUACUGUCGCCGUUUUGUGCCCCCGUGGGAGAAGGACGGGAAGACGGCUGAAGAGCUCUUUGGCGGCAUUUUGCAGAGCUCCAACCCAAUCCAAAAGCAGCGCAGGGAAGCGGAGCGUCAGCGACAGCUCGAAGAGGCCGCAGCUGUUGAGGACGCCUUAUCGCCGGAGGAGCAGCGGAGAUUGGAGGCCAUGGAGGCGCACAACGCUGCCGUCGCCGAGGAGCGUCGCAAUUUUCUUCCGUAUGGGGCGACCCCGCACAAAUACUUUGAGACCUCUAACAUGGCCGCCUGGGGUGAGUACACGACCGCCCUUCGAGCCGUGGCGAACCUUAGUGCCUCAUCGCAGUCGCCGUCGAACAGUGAGAACUCAUAUUCGCCAAGCGUCCAGCAUCAGUUGGUGGAGGACAUGGAGAACAAGAUUCCGUACAGGUAUGACGCUUAUGUGGAACCGGCAGCGUCGCCGUCGUCUUCAUCGGCUCACAAAGGUCCGCAAUGGCCGUUGCACGGGUCGGCUGGCUUGGUGCUGGACAUCGACGGCGUUGUGUACCGUAGCCAUCGUCUCAUACCAGGCGCCGACACCGCCAUCCGGAAACUCUCCACGCUGCGCAUUCCAUUUGUGUUCAUGACGAACAGCGGCCACAAAAGCGAAGCCGAUAAGGCUGAGGAGCUUUCUGCGUUGCUGGGCUGUGACAUCAGAGCGAACCAGGUGCUGCUGGCGCACAGCCCGAUGCGCCUGCUCGCGCCGGAGUACGGAGAGGAGCGCGUGCUUGUCGUUGGUGCGCCGCGCUGCGCAAAUAUCGCACGCGAGUACGGAUUUCGGCGGGCCAUCUCUGUACAGCAGUACCAGUGUGAGCACCCGGAGAUGGUGCCAUUCAAGAAGUGGGGUAACCUGAAGCGGGCGGCACCGGGCACUGUGCCGUUUCCUGCCAUCGGUGCCAUUCUGCAGAUGAGUGACCCGGAAGACGCCUUCAACGACAUCCAGACCGUGCUGGAUGUACUCCUCGCACCAGGUGGCCAGGUCGGCCCGUACGUCUCCGGCGCUCAGACGACGCCGUACUUCGCCGCGGCUGACGACUUACUGUGGGCCACAGAGGCACCGCUGCCGCGACUCGGUCAGGGUGCGUUUCGAGAAAUGCUGGCCUCUGUUUACGAGAGCGUCACCGGACAGGGCAUGCAGCUGCAGCAGUAUGGGAAGCCCCGCGCUAUCGCCUACGCGUUUGCCGAGAAGCGCUUGAGGGAAGUGUCCGCUGCGCUAGGGUGGGAUCCGAACCAGUUUCGCUCCAUUUUCAUGAUUGGCGACAACAUCGAGAGCGACAUCGUCGGCGCCAACGCCGCUGGUGGACUGUGGACGAGCGUGCAUGUGCUCUCCGGCAUAGGGCGUGCGCCAGCAGCACGCCGCACGCUGAGUAUUGAUGAUUACGAGCUGGAGUGGAUCGAGUCGUGUGUGCCCAAGACACCGCACUACGUCGCACCUACGCUGGAUCACUUUGUGCGGGAGCUGCUCGCCUUCCCCGAGGCGGCGCUCUUGCAGAGCAAGGCACCGUACCACGGAAAGCCGAACCCGGUUGACCUGCACGGUGCCUACAACUUUCGCGAGUGAGGUGUGCGGCGUACGCGCAUAAAGGCGCGAGUGCCGCAAUCGCAAAUGCAUGCACUUGUGGUGUUGGAGUGCGGCGACGCAGCGCCUGCUUCGACCUUCCACUGCACGUAGUGAAGAAGAGGGAAAAGCACAGUGCGCACAUAAGCAGGUCACCGAUGGCCCCAGCUCAAGAUGAACAUAGUCGCACGCGCGCAUGCCCCCUUGACAUGCCUGACCUUCUCUUAUUUCUCUGUGCAGGAUGCUUUCGAAUGUCUCCUAUGCGUGGGGCCACCUUCGAACGCUUCUCGUCGUGCUCGUCCCUGCGCCCCUCAGGUUUGUACCACAUCCGCCCGCUCUUCAUCUGCCUCGCUUUCUUUCUGCUCCCCUGCCCACGGGGAGAUUCACAG
RNAcentral lists this unclassified non-coding RNA (2188 nucleotides) under Leishmania donovani. RNAcentral's name for it is "gene:LdHU3.35.5810(CDS-product:Haloacid_dehalogen ase-like_hydrolase/HAD-hyrolase-like_putative)". The record is from RNAcentral. Lineage: Eukaryota; Euglenozoa; Kinetoplastea; Trypanosomatida; Trypanosomatidae.